RNAcentral lists this transfer RNA (74 nucleotides) under Salmo salar (Atlantic salmon). It matches the Rfam family "tRNA". From Rfam's summary of the family: Transfer RNA (tRNA) molecules are approximately 80 nucleotides in length. Lineage: Eukaryota; Metazoa; Chordata; Actinopteri; Salmoniformes; Salmonidae. The record is from Rfam by way of RNAcentral.
UCCUCUGUGGCUCAGUUGGUAAGAGCAAAGCGCUAGCGAUGCUAAGGUUGUGGGUUUGAUCCCUGCUAGUGGCU